This 229-nucleotide long non-coding RNA is filed under the name Olea europaea (common olive). RNAcentral's name for it is "long non-coding RNA (OEUR_LNC014080)". Lineage: Eukaryota; Viridiplantae; Streptophyta; Magnoliopsida; Lamiales; Oleaceae. The record is from RNAcentral.
UCCUCACGACCCGUUCUUAUCUGAAAAUAUUGUAAGAGUGAGUAUUUUGAAAACACUCAGUAAGAAUACGUGCACAUCCUUUUUCACAUGAUAUAAAUAUAAAAAAAAAUAGCAUAACAUACCAACAUUUCUUAGGAAUUUCUUAAGAAUCCCCAUAUCCCGUAGGAUUUAAUUUCUUUUCUUUGACCUGACGGUCUAUCCCGAAGGAUUUAACUUCUUCUCUCUGACC